Molecule: transfer RNA, 73 nt
Organism: Ipomoea nil (Japanese morning glory)
Lineage: Eukaryota; Viridiplantae; Streptophyta; Magnoliopsida; Solanales; Convolvulaceae
Rfam family: tRNA
About the family: Transfer RNA (tRNA) molecules are approximately 80 nucleotides in length. Their secondary structure includes four short double-helical elements and three loops (D, anti-codon, and T loops).
Source: Rfam
GCCCGUCUAGCUCAAUUGGUGGAGCGCAAGGCUCUUAACCUUGUGGUCCUUGGUUCGAGCCCAAGGGUGGGCG